CCUUGAUCAUACUUGAAGGAAAUCAAAAGUAACACCUAGCUGAGAAAGGGCUAGGCCUCCCACCCUGGGUGAUACAGCCUCCCACUCGGCAGUGGUGUCUUGUUCAUUUGGACUCGCAGAUAGGGCCGAGGUUUAAGGCUGCUGUGUGGACCAGAACUGGGGAAAGAAGCUCGACUCCUGGUGAACUGUGAGGGUGGUACACUGAGUCAUCGCCGUUAGAGAUGGCAACACAGGACACAAGCCUUGUUCCUUUUCUAUGGAGUCCACUUAUUUUCUCAGUGCAUUUCUGGGGUCAAAGGUCUCAGCAGAUAACCUUUAGCUGACUAGCAAGCCGUCCCUUUGUUUAUCAGUAUGAGCUAAGUGUUAAUAAGAGCUACCAUUUAUCAAGCCAUGCCCCAGGCAUUGUGCUGAGCAAAACUUUCUUUCAACAAUUAUAGAGCCCCUGGGAAUACAGUUUUGAAUAAACUCUGCAGAAGCUUAUAAUCCACUGCAGGUGACAGCCACCCAACAACAGCCAUUUGAAUGAUUACAAGAGAGCAAAACCCUACUCAGGGGACGGCCAGGACCCACUGGAAGUCUCUGAGCAUCCUUCCUCUGUGGAAAAUAGAGCUUCUGUUCAAGGACCAAACUUCACCAUGACAAACGACUCUGGUUUUAAACCAUUUUCGAGAGAAGGUGUCAAGGUCACUGGAAAUGCAGAUGCCUUGGAGAGUGAGAUGAACAUACAAGUCACCCGGCAAAUGUGCCAUGGGCACAUUCUCCAGUCAUGCUCAAUUCUUAGUCAGCAACUUCACUACCAGAACACAAGGAGAAUGAGCCUCAGAUGAAAUUCUCCCAAAUGGUGCUGUUGUGCUCAACCACACUGGAGCCGGUGUAGAAGGAAAGUGAAUGCUUCUUCAUCUCUUUAUCAAAAGUUCCUCUUUAUAUGAUUACUAUUAUAUUAUAUAAUCAUAUAUGAUCUGCACUCUAGAUUAGAUAGACAUAGCCAAUUAAUUGUUAUAAAUGACUAAUUAUAAAAUACUUCAUAUACAAGCAGAUUUUAUCUUAUGUCACUAUAUUAAAUUAUAUUAAUAUCAAGAGUUAAUAAAAACUAUCCAACUGAAAAAAAUGACUGUACA
RNAcentral lists this long non-coding RNA (1118 nucleotides) under Bos indicus x Bos taurus (hybrid cattle). RNAcentral describes it as "lncRNA (ENSBIXG00005019181.1)". Lineage: Eukaryota; Metazoa; Chordata; Mammalia; Artiodactyla; Bovidae. The record is from RNAcentral.